Molecule: ribosomal RNA, 492 nt
Filed under: uncultured bacterium
Lineage: Bacteria
Description: partial 16S ribosomal RNA
Rfam family: Bacterial small subunit ribosomal RNA
Source: RNAcentral
AUUGAACGCUGGCGGCAUGCUUUACACAUGCAAGUCGAACGAUAACAGGCCUUCGGGUGCUGACGAGUGGCGAACGGGUGAGUAAUGCAUCGGAACGUACCCAGAGGUGGGGGAUAACGCAGCGAAAGCUGUGCUAGUACCGCAUGUGAUCUGAGGAUGAAAGCGGGGGACCGAGCAGCAAUGUUUGGCCUCGCGCCUUUGGAGCGGCCGAUGUCGGAUUAGCUAGUUGGUGGGGUAAAGGCCUACCAAGGCGACGAUCCGUAGCUGGUCUGAGAGGACGACCAGCCACACUGGGACUGAGACACGGCCCAGACUCCUACGGGAGGCAGCAGUGGGGAAUUUUGGACAAUGGGCGCAAGCCUGAUCCAGCAAUGCCGCGUGCGGGAGGAAGGCCUUCGGGUUGUAAACCGCUUUUGGCAGGAACGAAACGGUGUCCGCUAAUACCGGGCGCUAAUGACGGUACCUGCAGAAUAAGCACCGGCUAACUACGUG